GGCUUCGUGGUGUAGUGGUCAGCACGCUCGACGCGUAACCGAGAGGCCCCUGGUUCGAUUCCCGGCGUAGGCG
Molecule: transfer RNA, 73 nt
Filed under: Stegodyphus mimosarum
Lineage: Eukaryota; Metazoa; Arthropoda; Arachnida; Araneae; Eresidae
Rfam family: tRNA
About the family: Transfer RNA (tRNA) molecules are approximately 80 nucleotides in length.
Source: Rfam by way of RNAcentral